GAGCUGGUGGUCAAAUUGGAUAAGGCGCUUGACUAAAGCUUAGAAGAUUACAAGUUCGAGUCCUGCCGGGGUCA
This is a non-coding RNA of Potamilus streckersoni, 74 nucleotides long. The record is from the annotation of a GenBank genome assembly. NCBI's taxonomy places the organism in Eukaryota, Metazoa, Mollusca, Bivalvia, Unionida, Unionidae.